CCUACGGGAGGCUGCAGUGGGGAAUAUUGGGCAAUGCGCGCAAGCCUGACCCAGCAACGCCGCGUGAAGGAAGAAGGCCCUCGGGUUGUAAACUUCUUUUAUCAGGGACGAAGCAAGUGACGGUACCUGAUGAAUAAGCCACGGCUAACUACGUGCCAGCAGCCGCGGUAAUACGUAGGUGGCAAGCGUUAUCCGGAUUUACUGGGAGUAAAGGGCGUGUAGGCGGGAAAGCAAGUCAGAUGUGAAAACCAUGGGCUCAACCUGUGGCCUGCAUGUGAAACUGUUAUUCUUGAGUACUAGAGAGGCUGACAGAAUUCCUAGUGUAGCGGUGAAAUGCGUAGAUAUUAGGAGGAACACCAGUGGCGAAGGCGGUCUGCUGGACAGCAACUGACGCUGAGGCGCGAAAGCGUGGGGAGCAAACAGGAUUAGAUACCCCUGUAGUC
RNAcentral lists this ribosomal RNA (443 nucleotides) under uncultured bacterium. RNAcentral's name for it is "partial 16S ribosomal RNA". It matches the Rfam family "Bacterial small subunit ribosomal RNA", at positions 338 to 795 of the family's 1533-position model. The record is from RNAcentral.